Molecule: long non-coding RNA, 226 nt
Filed under: Sus scrofa (pig)
Lineage: Eukaryota; Metazoa; Chordata; Mammalia; Artiodactyla; Suidae
Description: lncRNA (ENSSSCG00050053187.1)
Source: RNAcentral
GCUGUGUCGCCACAGACCUGUAGUCAGAAGAGUCCACCUAAGAGUCGAGCCUGGAAGAUCCCAGCUCGGGAGGGCCUGGAGAGCGGCGCCGGCUGGAUGAGCCCAGUGUCUCCAGCAGCAGGAGUUCGACAGGAUCCUGGAUGGCCAUCUUUCUUCUGAUGGUGAUAGGUUGGAUGCUAGGAUAAAAUCCUGCCCAGACACCUUCCCCAACUCUAUCUAGCCCUUA